Molecule: transfer RNA, 78 nt
Filed under: Mycoplasma mycoides subsp. capri str. GM12
Lineage: Bacteria; Bacillati; Mycoplasmatota; Mollicutes; Mycoplasmatales; Mycoplasmataceae
Description: tRNA-Thr
Rfam family: tRNA
About the family: Transfer RNA (tRNA) molecules are approximately 80 nucleotides in length. Their secondary structure includes four short double-helical elements and three loops (D, anti-codon, and T loops). Further hydrogen bonds mediate the characteristic L-shaped molecular structure. tRNAs have two regions of fundamental functional importance: the anti-codon, which is responsible for specific mRNA codon recognition, and the 3' end, to which the tRNAs corresponding amino acid is attached (by aminoacyl-tRNA synthetases). tRNAs cope with the degeneracy of the genetic code in two manners: having more than one tRNA (with a specific anti-codon) for a particular amino acid; and 'wobble' base-pairing, i.e. permitting non-standard base-pairing at the 3rd anti-codon position.
Source: RNAcentral
UGCUGACUUAGCUCAGCAGGCAGAGCAACUGACUUGUAAUCAGUAGGUCGUAGGUUCGAUUCCUAUAGUCAGCACCAU